AAUAGAUACCCCCGGUAGUCCACGCCGUAAAACGAUGGAUACUAGCUGUUCGAGCGCAAGUUUGAGUGGCUAAGCGAAAGUGAUAAGUAUCCCACCUGGGGAGUACGGGCGCAAGCCUGAAACUCAAAGGAAUUGACGGGGGCCCGCACAAGCGGUGGAGCAUGUGGUUUAAUUCGAUGAUACGCGAGGAACCUUACCAGGGCUUAAAUGUAGAUUGACGUAUUUGGAAACAGAUAUUUCUUCGGACAAUUUACAAGGUGCUGCAUGGUUGUCGUCAGCUCGUGCCGUGAGGUGUCAGGUUAAGUCCUAUAACGAGCGCAACCCCUGUUGUUAGUUGCCAGCGAGUAAUGUCGGGAACUCUAGCAAGACUGCCAGUGUAAACUGUGAGGAAGGUGGGGAUGACGUCAAAUCAUCACGGCCCUUACGUCCUGGGCCACACACGUGCUACAAUGGCCGGUACAGAGAGCAGCCACUUAGCGAUAAGGAGCGAAUCUAUAAAGCCGGUCACAGUUCGGAUCGGAGU
This 523-nucleotide ribosomal RNA is filed under the name uncultured bacterium. RNAcentral describes it as "bacterial SSU rRNA". It matches the Rfam family "Bacterial small subunit ribosomal RNA", at positions 777 to 1304 of the family's 1533-position model. The record is from RNAcentral.